Molecule: long non-coding RNA, 717 nt
Organism: Callithrix jacchus (white-tufted-ear marmoset)
Lineage: Eukaryota; Metazoa; Chordata; Mammalia; Primates; Cebidae
Source: RefSeq, a predicted model, not a curated record
UGUUAUAUGACUGCAUGAUGAUAUCUUGAUCACCUAUGCCUUUAUUGAUGGAAAAUAACACCCCUCAAAGUACUCUCCAUAUAUUUAUGGGUGUUUUUCAGGAGUGGAAGACACCACUGUCUGCUUUUCCCAAAGUCAUCCCCUCUAUCCAACCCCAACAGCAGUACAUGUCCCCAGUCCAGGGAAAACUCCACCCUCAUAGUGAUGUGGACUUUUGGGCUCAACAGGACACUCAUACAAUUCCAUACAACCAGUACAUAGUCUCAAAUCCAGGCUGGUCAGUUUAAAUAAAUGGUCACUAUGUGGCAUGAAAAGCCCAAUCCAGAUACACACAGAGGCACAUUGGAAACACAGUAGAAAACGGCUGCCAAUUUAAAACCAGAAGUUAAGAAGAGCAAACUCAAAUGUACAGCAAGAGAGCUUCAGACUGGACUAGCUUCCAGCAGAAGUGGAACUGGAAACCUUGGAUUCUAUUGCCUCUUCUCUGUGACAUGGGAAAAUAUGUCAGUAUCUGAACUUGAACUUGGUCAUUACUGCUCAUUUCCUAACCUUUUCCAAGCCACGUAACUCCCCUGAGGCUUAGUUUUCUCAUCUGUGAAUUGCGGGAUGAUAUAUUCAUGAGCUUGCUGUAAAGACUGAAUGAGAUAAUGUGUAUAGAAGUGCCAAGCAUGGCCUCUGGCAUACAAUAGGUGCUCAAUAAAUAUGAACUGGAAUACA